RNAcentral lists this long non-coding RNA (7048 nucleotides) under Pongo abelii (Sumatran orangutan). RNAcentral describes it as "lincRNA". Lineage: Eukaryota; Metazoa; Chordata; Mammalia; Primates; Hominidae. The record is from RNAcentral.
CGCGAGGGGAGAUCGGGCGGCCCGGGGCGCCCUGCGACUGCCCGAGGCCGGAGGCCCGAAGGACCCGCCGCCGCCUUUGUGUCACUGGCCCCCGCCCCGCUGGACUGACUGGCCCGGGCCGGGGCGGUUGGGCCGGCGCUGAAGGGGCUUGGCCGCCCGGGUCCACCCGUUCCCGGAUCCGCCUCGCCGGCCCCCGCGCCCGCCCAACCCCUGCCCAACCCCUCGGCUGCGCGAGUUUGGGUGAGAAGUGCGGCGGCUUUUCCCAGGGAUGGAGUUUAGAAGACGCUAAUCCUAUGUGCGAGCGGCGGACCCCGCCCGGACUUCCCGGAGGCGCCCGGUUAGUGAGGCGACGGCGCCCACCCGCGUUCGCGGGCUCCCGGCCGCCACUUCCCGGAGCCGCCGGCCCGCCCUAGCCCCGCGCGUCGCCCCGGAGGGCGGGCUGCACUCCCUCCACGUACCUGGCUGGCAGAGCAUCUCCAGGGACAAAAGGUGCCCUGGGAUCAAAGCCGAGCCCCCGACCCCGCCGGGAUGCUGCCCUCCGGCAGGAAGGGUGCUGCCCCCAAGGUACUCUCCCCGGGCACCCAGGGGGAGGUUCCAUUUCAACCUCCGAUGAAAAACACGGCCCUCCCGUGUACUUAGGAGGGUCUGGGGUAAGUGCCAAGAUGGAGAAAACACGCCGGCCCCUCAGAGUAUCUCCUGAAGAAUGAGAACUAUCUAGUGGGCAAGGAGGGCUUCCUGCAUAGCAGAGGGCACCCCCUCUGAUCCCCCAACGCCAAAGGAAAAAAAUCACUCUUCACCGGCUCGCCUGAGCCAGGACAGGCUCCAGUGCAGCCACCCACCUUACAAUUUUCCGCGGAUGCUGCCUUGAUCAGAUAUCUGAAGAUGACUUUAAGGACUACAAGCAAAUCUCAAGGGAAAAAUUCAGACCUUGAACAAGAGCCUUGAACUUUUUCAGGGUUAAGACAAGUAUUCCCCAGUGGAGUUUCUGCCCUUAUUUCUUCGUUCUUCUCUUAAUUCUUCCAUAUUUUAACAGAACACAGACCUGCCGAAACGACACAGGAUGGCGCUUUGCUUUUUGUUAGUUCUCCAACCUUCCAAACCCUUGGGGCACAUGCAAGCAUUGUGGAAAAACUCCAUUAAACCAAGAGUCAUCUUACUCCAGAUCCCAGACUGCUUGGGAAGUUGGACAUGCGUAUUCCCAAAGAGAAAAGUGUUGGAAGGAGACAGGAGAGCAGCUCGGGGGUUGGGCGUAGAGGGCAGGAAAAGAGGGCAAGAUGGAGGACUACCACUCGAGGCCAGCCUCCACUGCCUGUUAGGGCGGUAGAACCUAAGAGCCGGUCCAAGGCAACACAAAAGAUAGUGAGGCUAGGUCUUUAAUUGCAGCCAACGAUCAAGAAAGCAACUCCAUCAAAUGACACUGUCUUUUUAAAAAUUUAUUUUUUUUUGAGGCAGAGUCUCGCUCUGUCGCCCAGGCUGGAGUGCAGUGGUGCGAUCUUGGCUCACUGCAACCUCUGCCACCCGGGUUCAAGCAGUUCUCCCUGCCUCAGCCUCCUGAGUAGCUGGGAUUACAGGCACGCGCUACCAGGCCCUGCUAAUUUUUUUUUUUUUUUUUGGUAGAGUCGAGGUUUUGCCGUGUUGGCCAGGUUGGUCUCGAAUUCCUGACCUCAGGUGAUCCGCCCACCUCAGCCUCCCAAAGUGCUGGGAUUUCAAGCGUGAGCCACCGCGCCCGACCAAAUGACACUGUCUUAAAUGAUUUAAUGUCUUAAAUCGGGAAAGGAGAGUAAGAGAAAGCACUCAACGGAGUCAGAGGUGUCUUGCAGCCUAGCUCUUUCCACAGACAAGCCACAUGGGCCUAUCAUCUAACCUUUUCAAGCUUCUCCAACUGCUUCUGUGAUGGAGAGAUUUGGGCUAGAGGAUCUUUUUAUUUUAUUUUAUUUUAUUUUGGUGACGGAGUCUCGCAUUGUCACCCAGGCUGAAGUGCAGUGGCGCAAUCUCAGCUCACUGCAACCUCUUUCUCCUGGGUUCACGCGAUUCUCCUGCCUCAGCCUCCCAACUAGAUGGGAUUACAGGCGCACACCACCACACCCGGCUUAUUUUUUGUGUUUUUAGUAAAGACGGGGUUUCACUAUGUUGGCCAGACUGGUCUCGAACUCCUGACCUCGUGAUCCGCCUACUUCGGCCUCCCAAAGUGCUGUGAUUACAGGCAUGAGCCACCGCGCCUGGCCUAUGAUCCCAUUUUUUAAAGUAAUUAGGCUGGGUGCGGUAGCUCACGCCUGUAAUCCCAGCACUCUGGGAGGCCAAGGCGGGUGGAUCACUUGAGGCCAGCAGUUCGAGACCAGCCUGGCCAACGCUGAAACCCUGUGUCUACUAAAAAUACAAAAAUUAGCUCGGCAUAGUGGCACGUACCUGUACUUUCAGCUACUUGGGAGGUUGAGGCAGGAGAACUCGCUUGAACCCGGGAGGCGGAGGUUGCAGUGAGCCAAGAUGGCACCACUGCACUCCAUUCUGGGUGACAGAGUGAGACCCUGUCUCAAAAAUAAUAAUAAUAAAAGUAAUUAUUUAAGGCUGGGAGUGGUGGCUUACGCCUGUAAUCACAGCACUUUGGGAGAGUGAGGCGGGUGGAUCAUGAGGUCAGGAGAUGGAGACCAUCCUGUCUCACGGUGAAACCCUGUCUCUACUAAAAAUACAAAAAAAUUUGCCAGGUGUGGUGGCGGGUGCCUGUAGUCCCAGCUAGUCGGGAGGCUGAGGCAGGAGAAUCGCUUGAACCCAGGAGGCGGAGGUUGCAGUGAGCCGAGAUCACACCACUGCACUCCAGUCUGGGUUUCAGAGCGAGACUCCGUCUCAAAACAAAUAAUUAUUAUUAUUUAAAAUAAUCACUGGGCCUGGCGCAGUGGCUCACACCUGUAAUCCUAGCACUUUGGGAGGCCAAGGCGGGCGGAUCACGAGGUCAGGAGAUUGAGAUCCAGCCUGGCCAACAUGGUGAAACCCCAUCUCUACUAAAAAUAUUUUUUAAAUUAGCUGGGCAUGGUGGCGGGCACCUGUAAUCCCCAGCUCCCUGGGAGACUGAGGCAGGAGAAUCGCUUGAACCUGGGAGUCGAAGGUUGCAGUGAGCCGAGGUCGUGCCACUGCAAUCCACCUGGCCAACAGAGCAAGACUCUGUCUCUAAAAUAAUAAUAAUUAUUAUUCUUGACAGGCCAGUGUAGAACAGGUGGGGCAUCUGUGGUAUGACAGAACUGGGUUCCAGUUCUGUCCCUUCACCUGUCCCAGGUUCCUCAUCUGAAAACUGUGACCCAGUAAACCUAAUUUCAUGAGCAGCUUUCAUUAAAAUUGAAAUAAUGUUGGAAAAUGCCUUGUAACCAUGCUUGAUAUAGAGUAGUUACUUAGCCAGUUAUUUCCUGUCUUCUUCCCAUUCCUAACAAAAUGGAAAAACGUUUGGUUGCUAGGAAAGAGCCCUAAGGGGAUUUUGUUGUUGUUUGAGACAAAGUUUGGCUCUAUCGCCCAGGAUGGAGUGCAAUGGCACAAUCUCUGCUCACUGCAACCUCCGCCAUAGACAGGAGCCAAGCAUAGUGGUGUGCACCUGUCUGUAGUUCCAGCCUCUUAGGAGGCUGAGGCAGGAGGAUUGCUUGAGGCCAGGAGUUUGAGUCUAGCUUGGGCAAUAUAUUGAAACCUUGUCUCUUAAAAAAAAAGAAAAAAAAAAAAGAGGCCAGGUGUAGUGGCUCACUCCUGUAAUCCCAGCACAUUGGGAGGCCGAGGCGGUGCAUCACUUGACCCCAGGAGUUCGAGACCAGCCUGGGCAACAUGCAAACUUCCGUCUUUUAGGCCGGGCGCGGUGGCUCACACUUGUAAUACCACCACUUUGGUAGGCCGAGGCGGGCAGAUCAUGAGGUCAGGUGAUCGAGACCAUCCUGGCUAAGGUGAAACCCAGUCUCUACUAAAAAUAAAAAAUUAGCAGGGUGUCGUGGCUGGUGCCUGUAGUCCCGGCUACUUGGGAGGCUGAGGCAGGAGAAGGGCAUGAACCCAGGAGGUGAAGCUUGCAGUAAGCCGAGAUCGCACCACUGCACUCCAGCCCAGGCAACAGAGCUAGACACCCUCUCAAAAAAAAAAAAAAAAAAUUACGUCUUAAAAAAAAAUACAGGUCCGGGCACGGUGGCUCAUGCCUGUAAUCCCAUCACUUUGGGAGGCCGAGGCGGGCGAAUCACGAGGUCAGGAGAUCGAGAGCAUCCUGGCUAACACAGUGAAACCCCGUCUCUACUAAAAAUACAAAAAAUUAGCCAGGCGUGGCAGGGUGCGCCUGUAGUCCCAGCUGCUGGGGAGGCUGAGGCAGGAGAAUGGUGUGAACCCAGGAGGCAGAGCUUGCAGUGAGCCAAUAUCCCGCUACUGCACUCCAGCCUGGGUGACAGAGCGAGACUCAGUCUCAAAAAAUAAUAAUUAACAACAACAAAAAAUACAAAAGUUAGUUGCGCGUGUUGCCAUAUGCCUGUGGUCCCAGCCACUCUGCAGGCUGAGGUUGGGAGAUCACUUGAGCCCAGAAGGUGGAGGUUGCAGUGAGCUGAGAACCCACCGUUGUACUCCAGCCUGCGUGUCAGUGAGAUUCUGUCUCGAAAAGAAAAAAAAUCUAGCCUAUGCUCCCUAGUAUGGGAAAUCUAGUCUAGUCAUUUGGCAGAAACAGGCUUUGCAGGCCAUAUUGUCUCUGUCGUAACUACCAACUCUGCUAGUUAAAAGGGAAGUAGCCACAAACAAUAUCUGAAUGAUGGAUUAUGGCUGUGUUCCAAUAAAACUUUAUUUGCAAAAACAGGUUGCUGGUUGCAAGGUAGUUUUCCAACCUCUACGUGAUUCUCAGACUUUAGAUUGCAUCAUAAUCACCUGGAGGGCUUGUUCAAACACAGAUUGCUGGGCCCCACCCCCAAAAUUUUUGAUUCAGCAGCUCUGGGGUGGGGCUGAUAUUUGUAUUUCUAACAACUUUCCAGGUGAGGCUGGCUGAUGAUGGUCUGUAAACCACUUUGAAAACCUCUGAAGCUUUUCUCAACUCCCUUCUUUGUGUACCUAAAACACUUUAUCCCUACUGUAGAUGUAGCAUUUAGCGUGUUAUAUUAGUUUAGUGAUUGGUGUGUGGGUCUCUGGGAGCCUUUCUGAAUUACCUUCCUAGCCUAGUGCCUGACAAUAGCAAUUUGCUCCCCAUUCAUUGACUGAACUGAAACCGGAGGGUCAUAGUUAUCAUCAUUGUUCCAAGCCAUAGAUAGAAGAUGAAGUCACCACCCCUGAUCUCAGAGCUCAUCAGAGUAGAGCUUGGGCUGGACCCUGCCCUUCUCUGCAGUGAGCAGUUUUCUCUGUGGAGCUCUGUGCAACCUGGAGCCAGCCCUGCCUGGGGUAAGAGGAAAAAGGACUCCUUCCCCCCAGCCCCACAGCCUGUACGCAAACACACCAGGAGACAUGACCUGCUCAGAGGAGACCUGGAACCAAGGGAAUAAAAUGAGAGUGGGUUGGGGGCUUGGCUGUUUACGUUUGUUAUUUUUUGCUUGUAAGUGGACAAUUUGUGGUGUGGUGUGUGAAUUUGGGGUCUUAAAUCCAGAUAGCUGUCUGCUGUGGACAGCCACUGUUUCUGAAUUACAGGGCAUUUCAAGUGACCUGUGGUCAGGAUGUUUUCUCUCAGAUCAGGCAAAAUCAAUUGGUCCUGAUAACCAGGGGAGUUGUACUUUCCCUGUCUUGAGUAGAAGAAGCCACAGCUCCCGGGUCCACCUGCCUCUCCUGACUGCCCACCUCCUGGCUUUUUUUUUUCUUUUUUUUUUUUUGAGACGGGGUCUUGCUCCGUCGCCUAGGCUGGAGUGCAGUGGUGCGAUCUCAGCUCACUGCAACCUGGGCCUCCCGGGUUCAAGAGAUUCUCCUGCUUCAGCCUAGCGAGGAGCUGGGAUUACAGACGCGCGCCACCUCGCCCAGCUAAUUUUUUCAUAUUUUUAGUAGAGACAGGGUUUCACCGUGUUAGCCAGGAUGCUCUGGAUCUCCUGACCUCGUGAUCCGCCCGCCUCGGCCUCCCAAAGUGCUGGGAUUACAGGUGUGAGCCACCGCGCCCGGCCGGCCUCCUGGCUUUUAUCCUGGGGGCACUGCAAGUAGAGCCAGGCGUGUGGCCCGUGCAUCCUUCCCAGCCUCUUUCCUGCUGGGCGUGGAGGAGGAGGCACUGCCAGGAGCUCCCCACAGACAGGCGCUGCUUACUGAUGGGUUGGCUGCAAACUGUAGGCAUAACAGUUACCUUCCUCUUCACGACCCCCAGGCCUGACGAGGCUUACACAGGAAUUUCUUUGAUUUGUGAAGUCUUAAGACUAUACCGCUGGGCACGGUGGCUCACGCCUGUAAUCCCAGCACUUUGGGAGGCUGAGGCGCGCAGAUCACGAGGUCAGGAGAUCAAGACCAUCCUGGCUAACACGGUGAAACCCCAUCUCUACUAAAAACACAAAAAAUUAGCCGGGCAUGGUGGGGGGGCGCCUGUAGUCCCAGCUACUUGGGAGGCUGAGGCAGGAGAAUGGCACGAACCCAGGAGGCAGAACUUGCAGUAAGCCAAAAUCACACCACUGCACUCCAGCCUGGGCGACAGAGCGAGACUCUGUCUAAAAAAAAAAAAAAAAAAAAAAAAAGACUAUACUAGCUAAUCUUCCAUGCCUCGCUCUUUCCACAUUAAUAGACAAAACCAGGAAAAAGGACUGCUCCCCCUCCCGCUCUUGAUUGGGCUCCAUAAGAACCGCCAAAAGGCCAGGCAGCAUUUGCUACUCUUCUGGGGUUCACUUCUGCAAGGUGCGACCCUGCAACCUAGAGCACAGGGAAGUUAGGACAGCAAAGGAGCCGGGCUGAGCCGAUGCUGGCUUAGAACUCUUUCUGUUACUCCCUGUUCCCGCCAGCUCGUUAGCCCAGCCUGCCAAUCAGUUUUGCAUCAAUAAACUUUAUGUUCUGAGCUUGGCCAGAUGAAUGAGAGGAGAGCAGCUAAAGACUGAUCUCUGACCUUGGCACGUAAACAGCCUCCAGAUUGGACUUGACAGUUAAUAAAGGAAAGGCCCUGCAA